Molecule: ribosomal RNA, 497 nt
Filed under: uncultured bacterium
Lineage: Bacteria
Description: partial 16S ribosomal RNA
Rfam family: Bacterial small subunit ribosomal RNA
Source: RNAcentral
GAUGAACGCUGGCGGCGUGCCUAAUACAUGCAAGUCGAGCGAACGGACGAGAAGCUUGCUUCUCUGAUGUUAGCGGCGGACGGGUGAGUAACACGUGGAUAACCUACCUAUAAGACUGGGAUAACUUCGGGAAACCGGAGCUAAUACCGGAUGAUAUUUUGAACCGAAUGGUUCAAAAGUGAAAGACGGUCUUGCUGUCACUUAUAGAUGGAUCCGCGCUGCAUUAGCUAGUUGGUAAGGUAACGGCUUACCAAGGCAACGAUGCAUAGCCGACCUGAGAGGGUGAUCGGCCACACUGGAACUGAGACACGGUCCAGACUCCUACGGGAGGCAGCAGUAGGGAAUCUUCCGCAAUGGGCGAAAGCCUGACGGAGCAACGCCGCGUGAGUGAUGAAGGUCUUCGGAUCGUAAAACUCUGUUAUUAGGGAAGAACAUAUGUGUAAGUAACUGUGCACAUCUUGACGGUACCUAAUCAGAAAGCCACGGCUAACUACGUG